RNAcentral lists this small nuclear RNA (119 nucleotides) under Zea mays. Its description in RNAcentral is "U2 spliceosomal RNA". It matches the Rfam family "U2 spliceosomal RNA". Rfam says of the family: U2 is a small nuclear RNA (snRNA) component of the spliceosome (involved in pre-mRNA splicing). Complementary binding between U2 snRNA (in an area lying towards the 5' end but 3' to hairpin I) and the branchpoint sequence (BPS) of the intron results the bulging out of an unpaired adenosine, on the BPS, which initiates a nucleophilic attack at the intronic 5' splice site, thus starting the first of two transesterification reactions that mediate splicing. Lineage: Eukaryota; Viridiplantae; Streptophyta; Magnoliopsida; Poales; Poaceae. The record is from Rfam by way of RNAcentral.
AUACCUUUCCCAACCUUUUGGCUGAGAUAAAGUGUAAUAUUUGUUCUUAUCAAUUUAAUAUUUGAUACAUGGACCAUAUGAUCAUUUUGAUAUUAAAUUUACAAAUAAUGUUACGCCAG